Molecule: transfer RNA, 54 nt
Filed under: Spirocerca lupi
Lineage: Eukaryota; Metazoa; Nematoda; Chromadorea; Rhabditida; Thelaziidae
Description: tRNA-Val
Source: RNAcentral
AGUUCUUUAGUUUAUUAUGAAUUUUUUAUUUACGAUAAGAGGGUUGAAGGAUUU